GCCCGGGUGGCUCAGUUGGUUAAGUGUCUGACUUUGGCUCAGGUCAUGAUCUCACAGUUUGUGGGUUCAAGACCCACGUUGGGCU
Molecule: transfer RNA, 85 nt
Filed under: Felis catus (domestic cat)
Lineage: Eukaryota; Metazoa; Chordata; Mammalia; Carnivora; Felidae
Rfam family: tRNA
About the family: Transfer RNA (tRNA) molecules are approximately 80 nucleotides in length. Their secondary structure includes four short double-helical elements and three loops (D, anti-codon, and T loops).
Source: Rfam by way of RNAcentral